This 20-nucleotide unclassified non-coding RNA is filed under the name Chlamydomonas reinhardtii. RNAcentral describes it as "small RNA Cre_2318". Lineage: Eukaryota; Viridiplantae; Chlorophyta; Chlorophyceae; Chlamydomonadales; Chlamydomonadaceae. The record is from RNAcentral.
UAGGCACCAUGGCGGCGAGC